GUAGUGGGGGAUAACGUUCGGAAACGGACGCUAAUACCGCAUACGUCCUACGGGAGAAAGCAGGGGACCUUCGGGCCCUUGCGCUAUCAGAUGAGCCUAGGUCGGAUUAGCUAGUUGGUGAGGUAAUGGCUCACCAAGGCGACGAUCCGUAACUGGUCUGAGAGGAUGAUCCGUCACACUGGAACUGAGACACGGUCCAGACUCCUACGGGAGGCAGCAGUGGGGAAUAUNGGACAAUGGGCGAAAGCCUGAUCCAGCCAUGCCGCGUGUGUGAAGAAGGUCUUCGGAUUGUAAAGCACUUUAAGUUGGGAGGAAGGGCAGUUACCUAAUACGUGAUUGUUUUGACGUUACCGACAGAAUAAGCACCGGCUAACUCUGUGCCAGCAGCCGCGGUAAUACAGAGGGUGCAAGCGUUAAUCGGAAUUACUGGGCGUAAAGCGCGCGUAGGUGGUUUGUUAAGUUGGAUGUGAAAUCCCCGGGCUCAACCUGGGAACUGCAUUCAAAACUGACUGACUAGAGUAUGAUAGAGGGUGGUGGAAUUUCCUGUGUAGCGGUGAAAUGCGUAGAUAUAGGAAGGAACACCAGUGGCGAAGGCGACCACCUGGACUGGUACUGACACUGAGGUGCGAAAGCGUGGGGAGCAAAC
Molecule: ribosomal RNA, 646 nt
Filed under: uncultured bacterium
Lineage: Bacteria
Description: bacterial SSU rRNA
Rfam family: Bacterial small subunit ribosomal RNA
Source: RNAcentral